This 461-nucleotide ribosomal RNA is filed under the name uncultured Sphingobacteriales bacterium. RNAcentral describes it as "bacterial SSU rRNA". It matches the Rfam family "Bacterial small subunit ribosomal RNA", at positions 920 to 1382 of the family's 1533-position model. Lineage: Bacteria; Pseudomonadati; Bacteroidota; Sphingobacteriia; Sphingobacteriales. The record is from RNAcentral.
CCCGCACAAGCGGAGGAGCAUGUGGUUUAAUUCGAUGAUACGCGAGGAACCUUACCUGGGCUCGAACGUAAGAUGACUGUAGGUGAAAGCUUACAUCUCUUCGGAGCAUUUUUACGAGGUGCUGCAUGGUUGUCGUCAGCUCGUGCCGUGAGGUGUCGGGUUAAGUCCCAUAACGAGCGCAACCCUACCUUUAGCUGCCAUCAGGUAAUGCUGGGGACUCUAAAGGAACUGCCUACGCAAGUAGUGAGGAAGCGGGGAUGACGUCAAAUCAGCACGGCCCUUACGUCCAGGGCUACACACGUGCUACAAUGGCCGAUACAGAGGGCAGCUACCUGGUGACAGGAUGCAAAUCUCCAAAGUCGGUCUCAGUUCGGAUCGGAGUCUGCAACCCGACUCCGUGAAGUUGGAUUCGCUAGUAAUCGCGCAUCAGCCAUGGCGCGGUGAAUACGUUCCCGGGCCUU